RNAcentral lists this ribosomal RNA (253 nucleotides) under uncultured bacterium. Its description in RNAcentral is "partial 16S ribosomal RNA". It matches the Rfam family "Bacterial small subunit ribosomal RNA", at positions 524 to 776 of the family's 1533-position model. The record is from RNAcentral.
UACGAAGGGGGCUAGCGUUGUUCGGAAUCACUGGGCGUAAAGGGUGCGCAGGCGGGUCCAUCAGUCAGGGGUGAAAUCCCGAGGCUCAACCUCGGAACUGCCCUUGAUACUGUGGAUCUUGAGUCCGGAAGAGGUGAGUGGAACUGCGAGUGUAGAGGUGAAAUUCGUAGAUAUUCGCAAGAACACCGGUGGCGAAGGCGGCUCACUGGUCCGGAACUGACGCUGAGGCACGACAGCGUGGGGAGCAAACAGG